CCAGGCAGGCACACACAAGGCACAGCAGGCAGGCAGGCAGGCAGGGCGUGCGGGCGGGCUCAGGGACCAGCACACAAAACUACCGCAGGCUGUGCUGGAACCUUCCCAAAUCCGAAAACAGCCCACCAAUGAAAAGAUUCUGCAAACGCGAUUAAGUUUACAAACACUGACAGGAAACGCUACCGGAAGUGUUCCCCGCCGGAGUGUUCUGAUUGGUCACAGGGGUAGCCAUGUGAUUGCCGCUCAAUGACCUUUGUGUGCGGCCAUGUUAGUAAGGGACUGAUGACGUAAGAGGCACGCUUCAGGAAAAUACUGGCCUGAACGCGUCAGUGUGCUUUCCAUUCUUUAGUCAAGGAACAUGUUUUGCAUUAGGGAAAACGAAAAUAAAAACAAAAUAUCACCAAAGGUA
Syngnathus typhle (broad-nosed pipefish) is the source of this 409-nucleotide long non-coding RNA. RefSeq lists it as uncharacterized. The record is from RefSeq and is a predicted model, not a curated record. NCBI's taxonomy places the organism in Eukaryota, Metazoa, Chordata, Actinopteri, Syngnathiformes, Syngnathidae. The transcript is spliced from 2 exons.